This 463-nucleotide ribosomal RNA is filed under the name uncultured bacterium. Its description in RNAcentral is "partial 16S ribosomal RNA". It matches the Rfam family "Bacterial small subunit ribosomal RNA", at positions 28 to 507 of the family's 1533-position model. The record is from RNAcentral.
GACGAACGCUGGCGGCGUGCUUAACACAUGCAAGUCGAACGGAAAGGCCUUUUCGGAGGUACUCGAGUGGCGAACGGGUGAGUAACACGUGGGUGAUCUGCCCUGCACUCUGGGAUAAGCCUGGGAAACUGGGUCUAAUACCGGAUAGGACCGCACUUUAGUGUGUGUGGUGGAAAGUCUUUUCGGUGUAGGAUGAGCCCGCGGCCUAUCAGCUUGUUGGUGGGGUAAUGGCCUACCAAGGCGGCGACGGGUAGCCGGACUGAGAGGUUGGUCGGCCACAUUGGGACUGAGAUACGGCCCAGACUCCUACGGGAGGCAGCAGUGGGGAAUAUUGCACAAUGGGCGCAAGCCUGAUGCAGCGACGCCGCGUGGGGGAUGACGGCCUUCGGGUUGUAAACUCCUUUCGCCAGGGACGAAGCGUUUUGUGACGGUACCUGGAGAAGAAGCACCGGCUAACUACGUG